This 371-nucleotide ribosomal RNA is filed under the name uncultured bacterium. Its description in RNAcentral is "bacterial SSU rRNA". It matches the Rfam family "Bacterial small subunit ribosomal RNA", at positions 527 to 896 of the family's 1533-position model. The record is from RNAcentral.
GUAGGGGACGAGCGUUGUCCGGAUUUAUUGGGCGUAAAGCGCGCGUAGGCGGCCCGGAAAGUCGGUUGUGAAAACCCGGGGCUCAACCCCGGGCCUGCAUCCGAUACUUCCGGGCUGGAGGUAGGUAGGGGAGAUCGGAAUUCCUGGUGUAGCGGUGAAAUGCGCAGAUAUCAGGAGGAACACCGGUGGCGAAGGCGGAUCUCUGGGCCUUACCUGACGCUGAGGCGCGAAAGCUAGGGGAGCGAACAGGAUUAGAUACCCUGGUAGUCCUAGCCGUAAACGAUGAGCACUGGAUUGGAGGGCCCUCCAUAGCCUUCCAGUCGCAGCGAAAGUGUUAAGUGCUCCGCCUGGGGAGUAUGGUCGCAAGGCUG